Long non-coding RNA from Sarcophilus harrisii (Tasmanian devil), 614 nucleotides. RefSeq lists it as uncharacterized. The transcript is spliced from 3 exons. NCBI's taxonomy places the organism in Eukaryota, Metazoa, Chordata, Mammalia, Dasyuromorphia, Dasyuridae. The record is from RefSeq and is a predicted model, not a curated record.
GGGGGAUUACCCCAUUUUACAGAAGGGGAAACUGAGAGCUCCGGGGCAGUGGCCGAGGAAGAGGAGCAGCAUCUGAGGCCUUGGGGGGCCCCCAGGAGGACCCGAGCCAGUGACUAUGGAGAGCGGGACGAGGGCCCGAGACUCCGCCCUCCCCCGAGCCAUAAACCCAGGUCAGCAUGAAGAGGGAACGACCCCUGGGCUCCUGGUGGCCCCCAGCUCCCUGGUGAGUGGAUAUUCCCUGUGGGAUCCUGGAGCCCCUGCCCCCAAGUUCACACACGCCUGCAGCUGGGAGGGUGCUUGGGGACCAUCCUUGUUCUGUCUCUGACGGGGAAACCGAGGCACAGAGUGAUGACGUGUUUGACCAUUAUUAGGAGCCAAUACUCUCCUGGACUAUAUGUGUUUUCAGUGCUCCUGGCAUCUCACAACCCACAGGCUCUCCCUCUCCCCCAGAUAGAAGCCCUCCUUGCCACUAGUGAUGACAGGCAGGCAAACGAAAGUUACCCCUGGGCUGUGUUGGCCAUGAGGCGUCUCCAUUCAUGCCCUCUCUGGCUGGCAGCUUAGGAAACUUUGUUUUCCUUGGGAGGCAGGAACAAGGGGAAGGGCAAAGGAAGGAA